Molecule: ribosomal RNA, 488 nt
Filed under: uncultured bacterium
Lineage: Bacteria
Description: partial 16S ribosomal RNA
Rfam family: Bacterial small subunit ribosomal RNA
Source: RNAcentral
UGAGGAAUAUUGGUCAAUGGGUGCAAGCCUGAACCAGCCAUCCCGCGUGAAGGACGACUGCCCUAUGGGUUGUAAACUUCUUUUGUAUAGGGAUAAACCUACCCUCGUGAGGGUAGCUGAAGGUACUAUACGAAUAAGCACCGGCUAACUCCGUGCCAGCAGCCGCGGUAAUACGGAGGGUGCAAGCGUUAUCCGGAUUUAUUGGGUUUAAAGGGUCCGUAGGCGGACUUAUAAGUCAGUGGUGAAAGCCUGUCGCUUAACGAUAGAACUGCCAUUGAUACUGUAAGUCUUGAGUAUAUUUGAGGUAGCUGGAAUAAGUAGUGUAGCGGUGAAAUGCAUAGAUAUUACUUAGAACACCAAUUGCGAAGGCAGGUUACCAAGAUAUAACUGACGCUGAGGGACGAAAGCGUGGGGAGCGAACAGGAUUANAUACCCUGGUAGUCCACGCCGUAAACGAUGCUAACUCGUUUUUGGGGCCUUCGGCUUCA